UGCGCAGGCGGUUUUGUAAGACAGUGGUGAAAUCCCCGGGCUCAACCUGGGAACUGCCAUUGUGACUGCAAGGCUGGAGUGCGGCAGAGGGGGAUGGAAUUCCGCGUGUAGCAGUGAAAUGCGUAGAUAUGCGGAGGAACACCGAUGGCGAAGGCAAUCCCCUGGGCCUGCACUGACGCUCAUGCACGAAAGCUGGGAGCAAACA
RNAcentral lists this ribosomal RNA (205 nucleotides) under uncultured bacterium. RNAcentral describes it as "partial 16S ribosomal RNA". It matches the Rfam family "Bacterial small subunit ribosomal RNA", at positions 568 to 774 of the family's 1533-position model. The record is from RNAcentral.